CAACUGGCAGAAGGAGGCCAUGCGUCUGGAACGUCUGGAGCUGCAGCAAGGGGCUCCUGGCCAGGGAGGCGGUGGUGGCCUGAGCCACGAGGACACCCUGGCGCUGCUGGAGGGGCUAGUGAGCCGCCGUGAAGCUGCCCUGAAGGAGGAUUUCCGCAGGGAAACUGCUGCUCACAUCCAGGAAGAACUGUCUGCCCUGAGAGCAGAGCAUCAGCAAGACUCAGAAGACCUCUUCAAGAAGAUCGUCCGGGCCUCCCAGGAGUCUGAGGCUCGCAUCCAGCAGCUGAAGUCAGAGUGGCAAAGGUACUGGGCGCCACCAGCUGGCCUCGACCUGCUCCUCCCCAGCCCCACCCACUCUCCAGGCAGGACUGGGGAGCAGAGCCGCAGAGCAGAGAGUUCUGAUCCUCUUGCCAAGCAGAGGGUGGGGGGAGGGGUUGAAACCCAGCUCAGGAUCCCUGCCCAGGGCCUGUCUUUGAGGUGCCAUGGAGGUUAGCAGGGGGGUCCUGAGGGCGGGGGGCAGGCCCUGUGAGAGGACCAGGUUUCAUUUAUAGACACGGCGUCCUUUCUUACAGCCUCAUGUAGCUGCCUUCUCAUGCCCCAGAUGUCCAUGCUUGUGGAGGAUGUGAGAGGCUGAGGCAGAGUACAUUCUGGACUCUGGGCUUAGAAAGGGAGCAGGCUCAGAAUUAGCUCCUUGGGACAGGCAGGCCAGUUCCUGGGCACCUGCACUGUGUUCUGCAGCCAGAACCCCCAGGAGAGGCCUUGCCCCUUCUUAGGUUCACGAUGAGUGCUGGGCACCCGCUGUCAUGACAGGAGCCCACUAGGGGGUCCUCUUUCUUCUUUGGUGUGGCCUUACCUCCCACCCAAGAGAUCCGAGGCUUACUCUUCUCUCUCUGGGACCAGCAUGACGCAGGAGUCCUUCCGGGAGAGCUCUGUGAAGGAGCUGAGGCGGCUAGAGGACCAACUGGCCGGCCUGCAGCAGGAGCUGGCGGCUCUGGCACUGAAGCAGAGCUCGGUGGCGGAUGAAGUGGGCCUGCUGCCCCAGCAGUUCCAGGCGGUGCGGGACGACGUGGAAUCUCAGUUCCCAGCCUGGAUCAGUCAGUUCCUUGCCCGAGGCGGAGGGAGCCGCGUGGGGCUCCUUCAGAGAGAGGAGAUGCAAGCUCAGCUGCGAGAGCUGGAGAGCAAGAUCCUCACCCAUGUGGCAGAGAUGCAGGGCAAGUUGGCCAGGGAAGCCGCGGCUUCCCUGGGCCUGACGCUGCAGAAAGAAGGGGUGAUUGGAGUGACAGAGGAGCAGGUGCACCACAUCGUGAAGCAGGCCCUGCAGCGCUACAGUGAGGACCGCAUCGGGCUGGCAGACUACGCCCUGGAGUCAGGAGG
Molecule: small RNA, 1374 nt
Filed under: Pongo abelii (Sumatran orangutan)
Lineage: Eukaryota; Metazoa; Chordata; Mammalia; Primates; Hominidae
Description: retained intron
Source: RNAcentral